Molecule: long non-coding RNA, 6163 nt
Filed under: Sus scrofa (pig)
Lineage: Eukaryota; Metazoa; Chordata; Mammalia; Artiodactyla; Suidae
Description: lncRNA (ENSSSCG00000054180.1, ENSSSCG00130019503.1)
Source: RNAcentral
CCUCCUAGGAAAAAAUGAAAUGUGGUUUUUGUGUUUGAAUAGAUUCCAUUAUACACAAUAUUGUCAGGUUAGUGGGGUGUGGAUUGAAUAGUUGGGGUUUUAAAACUCCUGGAGCCUUAAUAAUUCAACAUACUUUUUAGAUAUGUUCAUCUGAGAAGAAAACUAAAGAGACACUGUGAAAAAUCAGCACAUAUAGCUCCCAUGUUAUGUUACACAUAUCCAAAUUGUGAAAUUUUCUUUUGAAUAUCACUAUGCAACUUUGGGUUGUAUGCUCUUUUAAUUUGGCUUGCACUUCUAUAGCAUGGGGGAAAAAAGGAUUUUUCGUUCCAAAUAUUCCACUACAACUGUUUCAGACUCAUCAUUUUGAAACCAGAUUUAAAAGGUUAAAUUGAGCUCAGGGAAAAGAUGAUAAUUAAAAAGCUAACUUCUAUUUCUCUUAAAUUCAACAUAUCAUGCUUUCAACAAAUUUUCACACAAAUAAGUAAGAAUAUCUAAUGUUUGAUGUAAAGUGGCCACAAAUUAUACUGGGAACUAUUUCCAUAUUUUUAAAAAUAAAUGUUAGUAUUAUAAAGAGAAAAGAAACAUUUUUCUUAAAUUACAGUCUGAAACAUUUUAAAUUUAUUCUAUAUGAUUGAUUAUCCUGUCCUAUAUGUCAGAACAUAAAUAAAAAUAUCCAAUAUAUGUUGUUUUCAUUAUCUUCGAGAUGAUAGGGAACAUACUUACUAUCCUGUAGCUCUGAUACUAUACAAUUAAUUUAGCCAAAAUUGAUCAUGUAACGACAAUAACAAAAGAUGAUUUCAUUGCUGAGUCUUAACACUUAAAAAUGUGUAGCAGAAAUGUGAAUACCUUAAGCAAGUUUCAAACUUCUGUUUUUAGUCAAGGAAAAAUGCAGAAAUCCUUUCUCGUCCUGCAAAGCACAUCUUGUUCUUUUUUAGUCCUUUAUCAUGUAUAUUCCAAGUAAGCUUCUAUUCAAAAGAAAUAAUUUAAAAGAAAUCUCUAAAUAUGAAAUCCCCCAUGUGAUUGGAAGAGAAAAAAAUACCAAAAAUAAAGUUUUUAAAAGUUUCUCUAUGCAGUGUUUUGUCAUCAAAGACCAUGAUAUUAACAAGAAAUUAAUUUCCCCUUCUAGACCGCAAAUAGCCCUGGAUCCACAUAGUUGGAUAAAAAUUCUGAUUCUCACAAGAUACUGGGAAUUUAUGCAGAACAGUAUGAUCUAUGUUCAUCAGGUGGAGUGCUUUUCUUUGUGAUGGGAAUAGGAAUGAGAAUUGAGAGGGUUUGAAAUUAAGAAAAUGAAAUCGGUCAUGUGGCAAAUAUAUGACAAAUGAUAUGAAGUAUGGGUUAAGUGUGUAUAACUGGCCUAUGGAUGAGCUGUCUUUUUCGGAAUACAUAAGUGAAAAGUCAUUUGUAAGCCAAUAUUUUUGGUCCUAGAAGAAUUCCAAGUUUACCUGAUAAUCAGUUUUAAGGUUUCAGGGUACAUAUGGUAAGCCCAAACUAGCGGCCCUCCCUUAUUCUAAUCACAUUUAAAGUCAGCUGUGGGAGGCUGCCACCCUUGAAUGGUUUAUAAUCAGCUUGAGACAUGAAACUGACUCAUUUCUGGAAAUGUGGGGGCUGUUCUUUCACUCUCUUCAGUACAUGAAUGCCACCAUAAAAUAAGAUUAAAAGUUCUGGAGUUCCCUGGCUGCUUCUCUUUCCUAUUUGUUAUCUUUUCAUGGUAUGUGGGCUAAUACUGUAUUUGUGUUUUCUUUUCUUCAAAUUAUCUUACAAUUUUGCAUUGGAUAGUCUGUUUUGCUAUACUUCUAAAAUAGGACAUAUUUUCCCAUUAUGCUAUAUUUUUAUCAUGUUAUUUUUAAAAAAUGAAUACCUUAAAUAUAAAUAGGUAUAAUAUUUAAACUCAUUAGAGUUAUAAUAUCUUUCCUGGUGCCUACUCCAUUCAAUGCCAGCUCUUGGAAGAUUACUUGUGAGCUUCUUUCACACUGUCUAAAGGUAGCUGUAAACUUGUCCUCUAAAAUACUAUUAUUAGGGAAUCACACUGCAAUUAUAGACUUUCUUCCUAAAGCUUCUGAACUUCAAGCCAUGAUGUUUUAUUUUCUUCUUUUAAAAAUGUCUUGGUCUCCUAAAUUAUGGACACAUAUCUUCUAAGAUCUUAUAGACAUUCACCUAAGUCCUUGAUCUCUUGCAUUUUGAGACAUCUUACUCAAGUUUUAAAGGAGGAAAAGGCUUAAUGUACUCAAUAAACUCUCAAAUUGAUUAGAAAAAUUAAAUACAUGUAUUUAAUUUUGAUGGUUUAUACAUAUAUUUGAUUAGAAAAACUAAAUAUGUGUAUAUAUAUAACUAAAUGUGUAUAUAUAUGUAUAUAUAUAACUAAAUAUGUGCAUAUAUAUAUAUAUAUAUAUAUAAACUAGAGAGAGACUAAGAGAAAAAGAAGCAGACAAAGAGAUAGAAAGGUGACAUAAAAUAUGAUUUGCUAAAAAUUUGCAAAUCAGUAAAUCUUGUAAAAUACCUAGGAGCUUUCUGUACUAUUAUUGCAGCACUUCUGUGAAUUUGAAGUUAUUUCAAAAUGAAAAAUAUAUUAUUUCAAUAAUAGUACUUACAAUUAUGUAGCAAACAAUAUAAUAGUUAAUGAAGCAAAUAAUACUAUGAUGACAACCAUAUACUAAAACUAAAAAAUACAACAUGAAAUGAGACAAUAAUUGGUUUGUAGGGGACUUACACUAAAUUCCUUUGCUUUUAUAUCAAGGAUUUAAUAAAUCAUUAUUUUAUAUCAAGACCUAGAGUGAUCAAAGUCUGUUUGGUGAGGUGAGAAGGAUGAGAACAAAAUGGUCAGUAUUGGUGGAAGUGGGUGGUUUGCAGAGAAGUAGGAGGAGAGUUACUUUAUUUUUUUAUUUGUAUACUUAAUUUUUAUUGAGAUAGCACUGAUUUAUAACAUUGUUUCAUGUAUAUAACAUUAUAUUCCUACUCUUGUAUACAGUACACUGUGCUCACCACCAAAAUUUUAGUUUCCAUCUGUCACCCUACAGUAGAGAGCCUUUACCCAUUUUGCCCUCCCCACCCCUUUCCCUUUGGUGAUCACUACUCUAUUUUCUGUAUCUAUGCAUUGUUUUUGUUGGUUUUUGGUUUGGGGGUGGUUUUUACUAUAUUCCAUAUAUGAAGGAAUCAUAAGGUAUUUCUGCAUCUGAUUUAUUUCAGAGAGCAUGAUAUCUUCAAGGUCUAAUCAUGUUGCCACAAAUGGUAAGAUCUUGUCUUUUUAUGACUGACUAGUAUUCCAAUGUGUAUGUGCUGUGUGUGUGUGUGUGUGUGUGUGUGUGUGUGAUACAUCUUCUUUAUCUUUCCAUCUAUUUAUGAGUACUUAGGUUGUUUCCUUAUUUUGGCUAUUUAAAUAAUGCUGUGAUAAAUAUAGGGUUGCAUAUAUCUUCUUGAAUUAGUAUUUCUGUAUACUCUGCAUAAAUAUCCAGAAGUGAAAUAGCUGAAUCAUAUGGUAGUUCUAUUCUUAAUUUUUUUGAGGAAUCUCCAUACUGUUUUCUGUAGUGGCUACACCAACUUACAUUCCCACCAACAGUGUAUGAGGAUCUCCUUUUGAAGAUUUUACUUUCUUACUUUAAAUAAAUAAGUCAUUGGCAACACACACACACACACACACAAUUGUAGAUGCAGAGAGUUCCCCUAUGGCAUAGUGGAAACAAAUCCGACUAGGAACCAUGAGGUUGCGGGUUCAAUCCCUGGCCUCACUCAGUGGGUUAAGGAUCUGGCAUUGCUGUGAGCUGUGGUAUAGGUCACAGAUGUGGCUCAGAUCUGGCGCUGCUGUGGCUCUGGUGUAGGCCGGCGGCAACAGCUCCGAUUAGACCCCUAGCCUGGGAACCUCCAUAUGCCACGGGAGUGGCCCUAAAGAAAAAAAAAAUUGCAGAUGCAGAUAAUGGUAUAUAAUCAAUAACAAGACAGUAAUGCAAUGAGGAGUUAUAAAGCAAGCAAGUGAGAAAAACAGAAAAGACAAGAUAUAUGCAUAGCACCAGAGACUCUUAAAAAGAAAACCUGAAGUAACUGACUCUGUCAGCUUAAGCUGCUUUCACAAUAAGAGCUGAUUCCGACUGAGUAAGAGCUGAUUCCAACUGAGUCCAACCUGUAGACCUAGAAGGUUCACAGGAAAUAAAAAUUAGAAAACUCAGUCUGGCUUGGUAGAAUGCGGGAAUGGUAUCCAAUAGAGUGUUUAGUAAGGGUUUGUCUAAAUAACCCUUUUAUUUUGAAAUAGUUUCAGAUUUACUGAAAAGCCUCAGAAGUAGUACAGAGAAUCCCAUAUAGCACUUACCAUUUCUCCUAUUAUAAAUAUAUUUGUAUGUACAUUUGUCACACAAAUAUUGAUACAUUAUUAUUAACUAAUGUCCACAUUUUAUUUAGAUUUCCUUAGUGGUAACCAAAUAUUCACUUCUGUUCCACAGUCCCAUUCAAAAUAUUACAUUAAUUUAGCUGUCAGUUCUCCUUAAGCUCCUCUUGGCUGUGAUAAUUACCCAGACUUUCCUUGUUUCUGAUGACCCAGACAGACUGUAGGAGUACUGAUAAAGUAUUUUGUUUAAUGUCCUCCUACUGAUAUUUACCUGAUGUUUUUCUCACCACUACAUUGGUGUUAUGUUUGUUGGAGAGAGAGAUCACAGAGAUAAAGUGCCAUUCUCAUCACAUCACGUCAAGAAUAUAUAUUAUCAAUAUGGCUUGUCACUGUUGUUAUUAAUCUUGAUCAUCUGGUUGAGGUACUGUGUCAGCUUUAUCCACUGUAAAGUUACUAUUUCCCCCCUUUUCAAACUACACAAUUUUGGAAGUCCUUAUAUAUAGACCACAUUUAAGAAGUGAGGAGUUAUGCUUAAGGAUAGCAUAUCCAAAUCAAUUAUUUUAAAUUCUACUGCACAGGAAAUGUGUCUGUUCUCUCCCAUUUGUUUAUUGACUUAAUUAUGUAUUUAUCAGUAUGGACUCGUGGAUAUGUAUAUCUUAUACUUUGGGUUAUAAUUCAAUAUUAUACUUUUUUGUUGCUCAAACCAUUCCACCUUUGGCUACUGAGAUGUCUUUCACUUGGAGCUUCUUUGUUCCUUUGACAUACUCUCAUCAGUGUGAGCAUACUCUCAUCAGUGUGAGCACUUUCUCACUUUCUGACACUACAAAGUUCUCUUAGUUUACCUUGUAUAUUUUCUGUCCCACCCCUAGAAUCAGCCAUUUAUCUAGGGAGCCUCAGUUCCUUUAAUUGGAGAAUGGUUCUAGACACCAAGAUGUGAGUCUAAGUGUACUUAUUGCUGCUGAGUGUCCUUGCUUCUAGGCUCUCUCAGCUAAAAGAAUAAGAAAAUAUGUGGAUAUAUGUUAACCUUUGUAUACAGACAUACCUUGGAGAUACUGCAAUUUUGGUUUCAAAACACCACAUUAAAGCAUACUUUAUAGUACUAUGAGUCAUAUGAAUUUUGUGUUCCCACUGCACAUAAAAGUUAUGUUUAUACUGUGCUUAUAGUCUAUUAAAUGUGCAAUAACAUUGUCUAAAGAACUAGAUAUAUGGUAGAUAGAUAGAUAGAUAGAUAGAUAGAUAAACUUUAAUGAAAAAAACAUUUUAUUGCUGAAAUACGUUAACUAUCACCUGAGCCUUCAGCAAGUCUUGGUAGUAGCAUCAAAGGUCACUGAUUACAGAUCACCAUAACAAAUAUAAUAAUAAUGAAAAAGUUUGAAAUAUUGUGAGAGUUAUCAAAAUGUGACACAGAGACAUGAAGUGAGCAAAUGCUGUUGGAAAAAACAGUGCCCACAGACUUGCUCGAUACAGGGUUGCCACAAACCUUCAACUUGUAAAAAAACAAUAUCUGUGAAGCACAGUAAAGUGAAGCAUAAUGAAACAAGGUAUGCCUGUAUCUAUAAAUAUUUCCAUAUGUAUCCAUCCAAAUCUAUAGUAAAAUUAAAAAAUGAGCUUAGGAGUUCCAGUCGUGGCUCAGUGGUUAACGAAUCCGACUAAGAACCAUGAGGUUUUGGGUUCGAUCCCUGGCCUUGCUCAGUGGGUUAACAAUCUGGCGUUGCCAUGAGCUGUGGUGUAGGUUGCAGACGAGGCUUGGAUCCUGCGUUGCUGUGGUCCUGGCGUAGGACGGUGGCUACAGCUCCGAUUUGACUCCUAGCCUGGGAACCUCCAUAUGCCACAGGAGAGGCCCAAGAAAUG